AUGCUGUGGGAGUGUCGCGUCGCGCGGUUGCUGGAUGAAACGGCGCCGGACAUUGCUGCGUGUUGUUCCUGUUGGCUGUCACGAUAUGGUGGGCUGUGGGCGGCUCUUCGAUGUACCGUCCGGAUAAAUCUACCAGUUGCUCUAGUGCAGACACUCUACAUCCUACGAACUGCUGGACAAUACAGAGGACUGCUGCAGAAACAAACACGUGACACAGAGCCUUAAGUCCUUGGCACAUGUGGAAACCGAGGAUGACGUUCAAAGCGAAGGGACUGGCACCUCCGCCAGACAGCAGAAUGGCAAACCAAGGGUGUCGUCACCUAUCGUACUGCAAAAACUCAUCAGCCCAUUCUGACGUGUGACGAGCCAUCCGUGCACGUCCACACGGCCGCCAGCGAGGCGGCGCAGAUCAUGGCCGCUCUACGUACGCACUAAGAACCAGAUCCAGCUGACACUGUGAAUACGACUGGGCAAACAACAGACUUGUCCCCGCAUGCGGCACCGGUCCGGCAUGAUGGGGCGGAGGCAGGCGAAGAGAAAUGUCCUUAUGGUGGUGUGGUCUGCGCUGACCAGGAUAUGACCGCGGUAUUGGGCGAUGGCUAUGGUACGUGACCAUUGGUCAUACAUGGGUGAUUGCCGUGGUACGAGCCUGGAUGUGGUUGUAGCAGUUAAAAGCAGCCCUUCCACUCUUCCUGUGCCGGCGGUAGCGGUGUUUAUUGAUGAAAACAUUUUGAUAAAUUGUCCACUAUAAAAGUGCGGCGUACCAGCUAAUGCUCUUGGUCUGUUUAGAUGCUGUGCUCCAGGUUACGCGCUCGGCAGACUGCUUGCGUAGCACCAUUGGCAUAUUCUUUGGCCCUGCUUGGCCCGCAGAGCGGUCUUGAUUACAAAGAGGUGGUACCACAAGAUUGUGCAUGCAUCCUCGCAACUUCUUCGUGUUUCGCAAGCGGGAGAUGCGGAGGAAAUUGAAAUAAAUUACCCAUAUAUAUGCAUU
Pollicipes pollicipes is the source of this 991-nucleotide long non-coding RNA. RefSeq lists it as uncharacterized. The record is from RefSeq and is a predicted model, not a curated record. Lineage: Eukaryota; Metazoa; Arthropoda; Thecostraca; Pollicipedomorpha; Pollicipedidae. The transcript has 2 exons.